GGGAGAUGGCUACUUCUCUCGACGUCAAUAUCGAGUCACCCACAGGAUGCCCUUCACGUCCCACACACUGCCACUCAGAGUAAAUGAGCAGAGGAGGAACGGAGAUGGAUGGAUGGAUGCACGGACGGAUGGAUGUGAGGAGAAGACAGUGGGAUGGCUGAUUGGCUGGAAAUAAGCUAGCUUCUGAAGUUACAUCGAUCGUAACUUUAUUUACAUCUGCACAGUGAACACACCACAGGGAUGAGAAGGGAAAAGAAAUGUGCUGAGAGUGAAAGCAGACUGUGGGAUGUUAUUAUUUUCCUAUUAAUGACUUAGCAUAUCCACGCUGCACCAGGCAGCACAAGAAAUUAACUCAUUUGUUUGUAAUAUGCAUUAAUCUGCUUAUCUGGUUUAAAUGCUCAUUAAAUGAAGAUGCCAGGAUGCAGUUCUGGAUUAUUUCAGCCCAUU
Molecule: long non-coding RNA, 447 nt
Organism: Astatotilapia calliptera (eastern happy)
Lineage: Eukaryota; Metazoa; Chordata; Actinopteri; Cichliformes; Cichlidae
Source: Ensembl